Molecule: transfer RNA, 86 nt
Filed under: Candidatus Woesebacteria bacterium CG06_land_8_20_14_3_00_39_27
Lineage: Bacteria; Candidatus Woeseibacteriota
Also listed under: 2 other names
Description: tRNA-Leu
Rfam family: tRNA
About the family: Transfer RNA (tRNA) molecules are approximately 80 nucleotides in length.
Source: RNAcentral
GCGGACGUGCUGGAAUUGGCAUACAGAAUAGCUUGAGGAGCUAUGCCCAUUAGGGCGUGGAGGUUCGAGUCCUCUCGUCCGCACAA